GACGAACGCUGGCGGCGUGCUUAACACAUGCAAGUCGAACGGACAGGCCCUGCUUGCCGGGUACUCGAGUGGCGAACGGGUGUGUAACACGUGGGUGAACUGCCCUGCUCUUCGGGGUAAGACUGGGGGAAUGGGUCUAUUACAGGAUAGAAGAUAGUUUUAGAGUGAUGGUUGGAAAGAAUUUUCGGUGUUGGAUGAGAGUGCGGCCUAUCGGCUUGUUGGGGGGGUAAUGGCCUACCAAGGCGGCGGCGGGUAGCCGGCCUGCGGGGGGGGACGGCGACCAGAGGACUGAGGGACGGCCCAGACGCCAACGGGACGCAACAGGGGGGAGUCUGGCACAAUGGGCGCGAGCGUGAUGCAGCGACGCUGCGGGGGGGAUGACGGGUUUCGGGUGGAAAACUCCUUUCGCUAGGAACGAAGCGUUUUGUGACGGUACCUAGACAAGAAGCCCCGGCUAACUACGUG
This 465-nucleotide ribosomal RNA is filed under the name uncultured bacterium. RNAcentral describes it as "partial 16S ribosomal RNA". It matches the Rfam family "Bacterial small subunit ribosomal RNA", at positions 28 to 507 of the family's 1533-position model. The record is from RNAcentral.